UAUGUGAUCGUCUCUCGCAUAUCAAUAAGCGGAGGAAAAGAAACUAACAAGGAUUCCCCUAGUAACGGCGAGUGAAGCGGGAAGAGCUCAAAUUUGAAGUCUUAAAGGGUUUCCCUUUACGAAUUGUAGUUUAAAGAAGUGUUUUCUGUUGAGGUUUUGGUAAAAGUUCUUUGGAAUAGGACAUCAUAGAGGGUGAGAAUCCCGUAUUUGACCUUUACUUUCAACUUUGUGAUACACUUUCAAAGAGUCGGAUUGUUUGGGAAUGCAGUCCAAAAUGGGUGGUAAAUUUCAUCUAAAGCUAAAUAUUGGCGAGAGACCGAUAGCGAACAAGUACCGUGAGGGAAAGAUGAAAAGAACUUUGAAAAGAGAGUUAAACAGUACGUGAAAUUGUCAAAAGGGAAGCGUUUGACACCAGUGUUGUUUUUCUGAAAAUCAAUUAAAGAACUGUUUAUGCUAAGCUGUUUAGACUUUAUCAGCUAACUGUUUAGUUUUGAGCUUUUCUUUAAUGCACUUUUCAGUUAACAAGUCAACAUCAAUUUCUUUUGCUGUAAAAAAGCUUGAGGAAGGUGGCUUGAGAUUCGUCUUAAGUGUUUAUAGCCUCUUGCCUACGCAGUCGGAGAGAUUGAGGUCUGCAGCGUAGAUCCUUCGGGGCUAAAUGCAUUUGUGCUAAGUUAUAGCAUUUUAUAGACAACUUGUUGACUAUGAUUUGUCUUGUAGCUUACUCGCUUAUGUUAUUUUACCUACGCUUAGGAUGUUGAUCUCUCACAGUCGAGC
This 774-nucleotide ribosomal RNA is filed under the name uncultured Neocallimastigales. RNAcentral's name for it is "partial large subunit ribosomal RNA". It matches the Rfam family "Eukaryotic large subunit ribosomal RNA", at positions 24 to 645 of the family's 3401-position model. Lineage: Eukaryota; Fungi; Neocallimastigomycota; Neocallimastigomycetes; Neocallimastigales. The record is from RNAcentral.